UAAGGUUAAGUGAAUAAGGGCGCACGGUGGAUGCCUUGGCACUAGGAGCCGAUGAAGGACGGGACUAACACCGAUAUGCUUCGGGGAGCUGUAAGUAAGCUUUGAUCCGGAGAUUUCCGAAUGGGGGAACCCAGCAUCUUUUAUAGGAUGUUACUUUUCAGUGAAUACAUAGCUGAUUAGAGGUAGACGCAGAGAACUGAAACAUCUAAGUACCUGCAGGAAGAGAAAGAAAAAUCGAUUCCCUGAGUAGCGGCGAGCGAAACGGGAAAAGCCCAAACCAAGAGGCUUGCCUCUUGGGGUUGUAGGACUCCGAUAUGGUAGUCCAGUGAGAUAGUCGAAGGACCUGGAAAGGUCUGCUAGAAAGGGUAAAAGCCCCGUAGACAAAAUUUGACUGGCACCUAGGAGGAUCCUGAGUACGGCGGAACACGAGGAAUUCCGUCGGAAUCCGGGAGGACCAUCUCCCAAGGCUAAAUACUCCCUAGUGACCGAUAGUGAACCAGUACCGUGAGGGAAAGGUGAAAAGCACCCCGGAAGGGGAGUGAAAUAGAUCCUGAAACCGUGUGCCUACAACAAGUUAGAGCCCGUUAAUGGGUGAUAGCGUGCCUUUUGUAGAAUGAACCGGCGAGUUACGAUUACUUGCGAGGUUAAGUUGAAAAGACGGAGCCGCAGCGAAAGCGAGUCUGAAUAGGGCGAAUGAGUAAGUGGUCGUAGACCCGAAACCAUGUGAUCUACCCAUGUCCAGGUUGAAGGUGCGGUAAAACGCACUGGAGGACCGAACCCACGUACGUUGAAAAGUGCGGGGAUGAGGUGUGGGUAGCGGAGAAAUUCCAAACGAACUUGGAGAUAGCUGGUUCUCUCCGAAAUAGCUUUAGGGCUAGCCUCAGAGUAAGAAUGAUGGAGGUAGAGCACUGUUUGGACUAGGGGCCCAUCUCGGGUUACCGAAUUCAGAUAAACUCCGAAUGCCAUCCAUUCAUCUCUGGGAGUCAGACUGUGAGUGAUAAGAUCCAUAGUCGAAAGGGAAACAGCCCAGACCACCAGCUAAGGUCCCCAAAUAACUAUUAAGUGGAAAAGGAUGUGGGGUUGCACAGACAACUAGGAUGUUGGCUUAGAAGCAGCCACCAUUUAAAGAGUGCGUAAUAGCUCACUAGUCGAGUGACCCUGCGCCGAAAAUGUACCGGGGCUAAAUAGUUUACCGAAGCUGUGGAACACACCAAUAGGUGUGUUGGUAGGAGAGCGUUCUAAGGGCGUUGAAGGUAGAUCGUGAGGACUGCUGGAGCGCUUAGAAGUGAGAAUGCCGGUAUGAGUAGCGAAAGACAGGUGAGAAUCCUGUCCACCGAAUGACUAAGGUUUCCUGGGGAAGGCUCGUCCGCCCAGGGUUAGUCGGGACCUAAGCCGAGGCCGAUAGGCGUAGGCGAUGGAUAACAGGUUGAUAUUCCUGUACCCGUUGUUUUUGUUUGAGCAAUGGAGGGACGCAGGAGGCUAAGGAAUCAGACGAUUGGAAAUGUCUGUCCAAGCAAUAAGUCUUGAUGUGAGUCAAAUGCUUACGUCUUUAAGGACAAGUUGUGAUGGGGAGGGAAAUAAUAGUACCGAAGUUCCUGAUGUCACACUGCCGAGAAAAGCUUCUAGUGAGAAAACAAUGGCCCGUACCGCAAACCGACACAGGUAGUCGAGGAGAGAAUCCUAAGGUGAGCGAGAGAACUCUCGUUAAGGAACUCGGCAAAAUGACCCCGUAACUUCGGGAGAAGGGGUGCUGAUCUAACGAUCAGCCGCAGUGAAUAGGCCCAAGCGACUGUUUAUCAAAAACACAGGUCUCUGCAAAAUCGAAAGAUGACGUAUAGGGGCUGACGCCUGCCCGGUGCUGGAAGGUUAAGAGGAGUGCUUAGCGUAAGCGAAGGUACGAAUUGAAGCCCCAGUAAACGGCGGCCGUAACUAUAACGGUCCUAAGGUAGCGAAAUUCCUUGUCGGGUAAGUUCCGACC
Molecule: ribosomal RNA, 1978 nt
Filed under: Enterococcus sp. HMSC14A10
Lineage: Bacteria; Bacillati; Bacillota; Bacilli; Lactobacillales; Enterococcaceae
Description: bacterial LSU rRNA
Rfam family: Bacterial large subunit ribosomal RNA
Source: RNAcentral